CCCCCACCCACCCACACGCCCCGUUUGAUGUAAACUCGCUCAAUCUGCGGACGCAAGCGGCCACCUAGCAGGAUGGAGCCGACGAGUUCUUUAGGAGCCGACGAGAGGCGGGGGCCAGGAUCGGUGGAGGUGCAGGUGGCUGCAGCGGCGCUUCAGCGGUCGGAGGUGUUCCACGUCGUGAAGGAACUGCUCGGCUUCGUUCUCUACAUGCACCACCAGAUUCCCUCGGUAUUGCAGAGUCUUGAAACUGAAUUUGCAGGUUUAAAGGAGGAAAUGUCAGAAAUGACAGCACCAUUGGCAGAACUGAAACCUUCUGAUCAGAGAAAGUACAACACACGAAAAAGGGAGGUUAGAUGCAGAAUCAAGAAGCAGGAAAAGUUAAUGAAAGGCAUCUCUACCGUACUUUCUGCUUUUCAGCAAGCACUUGAUAAAGUUUCUACCAUUGAAGGAGUUGCCCUGAUCCUGGGAGGGAGUCUUGUACGACCUUUGUUUGUCUAUGACAUUACAGUUACUCAUGGUAGAUUUGAUUCUGGAAGUGUCAAAGGGCAUGGUACAACAAAGUUAGCUCAGUCUGUUUCUCGAAAGGCCGUCCGAGCUCUUAUAUCAUGUGGUGCAGGGAGUUUAUCUUACACAGGCCCUACCAAGCUGUUUCUGCUGGUUAGAUGUCCUUGUACAUUGAACUUACCCCUGGAUUUUGCGCCAAAACGGGAAUUCCGUUACAGUAAGAAGGUUGUACCCCAGCAAAUGUCUAUAAAAUGCAAUACAGCAUACUACCAAAAGAAUAAUAAGCAUGUUGCAUCAAUCGUGGAUCCGUCAUGUUGUACUUCAGAAUCUUCUCCGUCAGAUGUUAUCUGGUUCCAGUGCAAGCACACGAUAAGAGGCUUACCAUGCAAGGCGUCAUUAGAAGGAUGAUGAUCCGCUCCUUUUCAUUAUCCUACAUCAUGUAUGUUACAACUGGAAAAUGCUGUAGUGAGGUGAACAUCGACCCUGACCUCAGCAUUCUUCAAUCCUAAAUUGGUCCUCCCCCCUUUUCUGUAAAUGUUCACCAAGGAUCAGCAUUCUUCAAUCUUAUAUCCCCGCCCCCCCUCCCCCCUUAUGUUCGUUUGCACUGGAAUGGUUUGGUGCUCAAUAAAAAUAUUUUGUUUCCCGUGUGGGCUAUCUAUGAGCUGUCUUAAAAAAAAUUCAUGCAGGUUACCCUUUUUAUACUUGCGUUUAAUCUGUUUUCCCCCAUUUUUAGUGUAGUUUUUUUCUUCCUGUGCGCCUAUGUAAG
Molecule: ribosomal RNA, 1270 nt
Filed under: Triticum aestivum (bread wheat)
Lineage: Eukaryota; Viridiplantae; Streptophyta; Magnoliopsida; Poales; Poaceae
Description: partial small subunit ribosomal RNA
Source: RNAcentral